Molecule: small nucleolar RNA, 108 nt
Organism: Benincasa hispida (wax gourd)
Lineage: Eukaryota; Viridiplantae; Streptophyta; Magnoliopsida; Cucurbitales; Cucurbitaceae
Source: RefSeq, a predicted model, not a curated record
AAUCCAUUGUGUGGGCAGUCGCGUACUAGUCUCUUGAAUCUCGCCCAUGCGUCACUGGGCGAUUCAUGUUCUUCUUUGUUCAAAAUUGGUGAUCAAUUUCCUCAUUCU